CAGAAUUUCUACAAGCUUCCAGAAUGCAAUAAGAUAAAGCAGUAAAGGCAUGUCAGGAAGCAUAUGUGGAAAGAAAAACAGAGUUAUGUUUUGGGUUAACCUGAAUGCAGAUUCCGUCUCCACAGAUUCCGCCUGGCCUGAUUUCAGAUGGUGAUGAGGAGGUGUACAGGAGCAAGAUAGAUCAGCUGGUUGAGUGGUGUCGCAGCAAAAACCUUGCACUCAACAGUCAGUAAGACCAAGGAAUUGAUUGUGGACUUCAGGAAGGGGAAAUCGAGGGAACAUACACCAGUCCUCAUCAAGGGAUCAGAAGUGGAAAGGGUUCCACUCAUCAGAGAAAUGCUGAAAUGAAACAACUUAAAUAGAUAGAAUGAAAAUCAUUGAAGAGGGAGGGCACCGGAGACAGAUGGUCAGCAUUUGAGGAGAAAGUUCAGAAGGAAUUGAACCAAGUAACAUUCACAACAUCUUCAAAAGGCAAAGCCUCAAGUCAAGUCAAGUGUUAACUACAUACAUGUAUAUAACGUAUAUAACUAUAUAAUGUAUAGAGAAACAAGGCAACCUUUCUCUGAGCCAGGGUGUAAAGCACAAAACACAUGAUAAGUUAAGAAGGCAAAGAUAAAAUCUACAGAUGAAUCACCCAUAAAUAACGAACUAAAGUGCAUUGAUAUUAAAUAUUGUGAAGUAUGGAACAGACCAACAAAAAAUACAAAAAGGUGCCAUCCAUCUUUAAGAGCCCCCACCACUCAAGACAUGCCCUCUUCCUAUCACUACCAUUAGAGAAGAUGUACAAGAGCCAAAAGACACAUACUCAUUGUUUUAGGAACAACUUAAUCCCCUCCACCAUCAGAUUUCCAAUCAGUCAAGUCACUUUUAUUGUCAUUUCGACCAUAACUGCUGGUACAGUACAUAGUAAAAAUGAGACAACGUUUUUCAGGACCAUGGUGUUACAUGACACAGUACAAAAAAACUAGACUGAACUACACAAAAAAAAACAGAGAAAGCUACACUAGACUACAGACCUACACUGGACCACAUAAAGUGCACAAAAACAGUGCAGGCAUUACAAUAAAUAAUAAACAGGCAGUAGGGCAAGGUGUCAGUCCAGGCUUUGGGUAUUGAGGAGUCUGACAGCUCGGGGGAAGAAACUGUUACAUAGUCCGGUCGUGAGAGCCCGAAUGCUUUGGAGCCUUUUCCCAGACGGCAGGAGGGAGAAGAGUUUGUAUGAGGGGUGCACGGGGUCCUUCAUAAUGUUGUUCAUUUUACAGAUGCAGCGUGUAGUGUAAAUGUCUGUGAUGGCGGGAAGAGAGACCCUGAUGAUCUUCUCAGCUGACCUAUUGGCUGCAGGGUCUUGCGAUCCGAGACGGUGCAAUUUCUGAACCAGGCAGUGAUACAUUUGCUCAGGAUGCUCUCAAUAUAACCCCUGUGGAAUGUG
Long non-coding RNA from Hypanus sabinus (Atlantic stingray), 1429 nucleotides. RefSeq lists it as uncharacterized. The transcript has 4 exons. The record is from RefSeq and is a predicted model, not a curated record. NCBI's taxonomy places the organism in Eukaryota, Metazoa, Chordata, Chondrichthyes, Myliobatiformes, Dasyatidae.